CUUCAGCUGUAUUAGUAUUACAACAGCACAAGGAAAAAACCGUUAGAAAGUUCCUCGUACUUAUGCCGGAUAAACGUCGUCAAUCAGAGCUCAAGAAUCUUAGUUGAAAUUUCGUAAAAUUUUAACUUUUUUCUACUUAAGAACUGUUUUCUUCUUAUUUCAACACGAAGAAUCAAGUUCAUUUCCCAGCAUUUUGAAGACUGCUUCCAUCUUACUGGGAUUUGUUCCUACUGAAUGUUUGUUUCUUCUAACGACAACAAGGAGAAUCAAGUACAUUUCCCACGGUAUUUGAAGACUGCUUCCAAUUGAUCUUCCAUCUAGCUGGCAUUUGUUUUAUCAUUCCAUCAAAUUAGCAGAACAGUACUGACUACAGAGGGUCUGACCAACCCAAAGCACAGUAGACCAUGGGUUCUAAAAGGCAACUUGAAUUACGCAUCAAUCCUAAACCUGAGGAACAUGGUAAUGCCUCUAAGAAGAUGAAGUUGGAUUUUCUUCAGGAAGUCAAAAUUCUUAACCUCGUUAAGUUGAAGGAUUCACCAAGGUUAUGAAAGAUAAAAUUCAAGAACCCGAUACCUCGACUUCACCAAACAAACUUGAUACAGAACAGCAGAUAGAAGAAUUGGAGUUGAAUGGUUGUGCAAAUGUAUUCUAUGGGAAUGACUCAACCCAAGAAUAUGGCUGGACAUGCUGGCAGAAAGCCAUCAAACUGCGAGAAACCAACAACAUUCCUAAAACUAUCUUAGUACAAUCUGCAAAGGAAAAAGUUGCUUUCAAGAACCGUUCAGAAUUACAAACCUUAAAAGAAUUUGGAAGAAAUUUUUGGUGAUAGCCGACGAAGAUGGAAGAUUCAGGCGUUCUUAAUCGCCCAACGUAUUUCGAAGAAAAAUGGAUGGUUUCCGAAUGAAUUUUCUGUAUUCAUCUGUACCAGUUUGCUCUUCGUAAUUGGAAGAAACGGCAAGUGACUCGUCACAGUGCUAUUGCCAUGUCGCUUUACCUGUUUGAAUUGAGUAUUCAUAUCAAAUCGAAAUCCGUAAAGCUCGAAGAAAUCUCAGAAGUGAUUAUUCUUAUUCUCGAACGGUUGUCGUCGAUUGCAAAAUCGGAAGCUGAAAAUAAAGGAUUGGAGAAACUACUAGAAAACAACAUUAUAGACAAUGGGAACGAGCGGAUUAAUCAACUAACAAGCCUGUUGGUGAAAGUAUGCACGUCGUACCAAGGAAAACCCAACGAGUUCGACGAGAAAACAGCGUUAGAAGAUAUCAUGACACUCGUUCUCGAGAAUCCGAACGUGCAUUUAUGCCAACUGCUAGGGAAAAUGUUCGUUCGUUAUCUGGAAUCGCUGCUGAAGUAGCUUGAAGGUAAAGCGACAUUCCAAUAGCACUGUGAAGAGUCACUUGACGUUUCUUCCAAUUACGAAGACCAAACUGGUAUAGAUUGAAUACAGAAAAUUCACUCGGAAACCAUCCAUUUUUCUUGGAAAUACGUUGGGCGAUUAGGAACGCCUGAAUCUUCCAUCUUCGUCGGCUAUCACCAAAAAUUUCUUCCAAAUUCUUUUAAGGUUUGUAAUUCUGAACGGUUCUUGAAAGCAACUUUUUCCUUUGCAGAUUGUACUAGGAUAGUUUUAGGAAUGUUGUUGGUUUCUCGCAGUUUGAUGGCUUUCUGCCAGCAUGUCCAGCCAUAUUCUUGGGUUGAGUCAUUCCCAUAGAAUACAUUUGCACAACCAUUCAACUCCAAUUCUUCUAUCUGCUGUUCUGUAUCAAGUUUGUUUGGUGAAGUCGAGGUAUCGGGUUCUUGAAUUUUAUCUUUCAUAACCUUGGUGAAUCCUUCAACUUAACGAGGUUAAGAAUUUUGACUUCCUGAAGAAAAUCCAACUUCAUCUUCUUAGAGGCAUUACCAUGUUCCUCAGGUUUAGGAUUGAUGCGUAAUUCAAGUUGCCUUUUAGAACCCAUGGUCUACUGUGCUUUCAGUUGUUCAAUCUCUCUUUGGUGUAUAAGAAAUAAAUAUUAGAAACAGACAAAACCGGAUACAAUUUUAACAUUCGAUCAUUUGAUCACUUCCCUUGAUUUCUCUUCAGCAUAUCAAGUAAAAGUUCGCUAUUAUGCUCCUAUUCCUAUGUAAAUGUUUUUUUCUAUGACGCUUCAGUCUAUGGCUUAAUUGCAAUAUGUUUUGUUUCGAUACUGCUAAAAUUGAAUUGUUUUUCUGUUUGGCGUACCUACAUUAUUUUUUCCGAAAUUUGUCGUAUUGUUAGUUGUCUUUCGUUGGAGCAAAUAACAACCUUUGCUUGUGGAAAAUAAAACGAGUUAAUAACUUA
Molecule: unclassified non-coding RNA, 2308 nt
Filed under: Daphnia pulicaria
Lineage: Eukaryota; Metazoa; Arthropoda; Branchiopoda; Diplostraca; Daphniidae
Description: uncharacterized LOC124327110, transcript variant X6
Source: RNAcentral